CUCUUUUCUUCUUAAUAAUCUAUUAUUUUAAAAAUAAUUUAUUUAGAAAUAGGGUUUAAUAGCCGGAAGAGCCUAAUACUUCUAUUAAAUCCGGUAUAUUCUCAACGUCCCUUAAAAAUCCGUAGGAGGGAAUAAUUCUUAUAUUAAAUUGUACUUAUAAUUAUAGUAAAUCUCUAAAGUAAAUAACUUUUAAUUAAUAGAAUAAUAUAAAUAAAGGAAAUUAGUAAAAUAGAUUUGUAAUUUCGAGAAAAGGAUUAACUCUAAAGGUUAAGUAUAUUGGGCUUUAGGUAAACGCCUUAAGAGUAGAUCGCUAUUAAUCGGGUAACUGGCCGGCGGCUUUCAAUAUCCGGGUAUAGAAGCCUUUAAUAGACUUCGGUCGUCUGGCGUAUAUUUAAUAACUAAUUUAGAAUUAGUAUAGAUAAGGGGAAUUUGACUAUUUAAUUAAAAUAUAGUAUUAUAAUAGUUAGAAAGUAGUAUUAAUGCAAUAUAAUUUCUAUUUAGUAUUUUAAAUAUUAAAGUAAAGAAAUUUAAUUAAGUACAGGUAAACGGCAGGAGUAACUAUAAUUCUCUUAAAGUAACUAAAUACUUCAUUAUUUAAUUAGUAAUAUAUAUAAAUAGAUUAACAAAAUUCCUACUAUCUCUAUUUACUAUCUAGCGAAACCAUAACCAAAGGAAUAGGUUUAGUAGAAUUAACGGGGAAAGAAAACCCUAUUAAACUUAAUUUUAAUUUAAUAUUAUAAAAAGAUAUAGGAGGUAUAAAAUAAGUAAGAACUUUAACGUUAAUAAAAUACUACUACUCCUAUUAUUUUUUUACUUAUUUAAUUAAAUAGGGUUAGAUUUUUAUCCAACUUCUAAUUUUAAAGUCCUUCGCGGGCCGACCCAAGUUAAAAACAUUAUUAGGUAGGGAGUUUAGUUAAGGCGGUACAUUUAUUAAAUUAUAAUGUAAGUAUCUUAAGGGGGGUUUAUAAAGAAUAAAAAUCUUUAAUAGAAUAAAAGGGUAAAAGUCCCUUUAAUUUUAAUUUUUAAUAUAAAUAUAAACUAUAAAAGUAUAGUUUAUUAAUUCUUUAAUCCUUCGAAAUUUGAAGCUAGAGGUGCUAAAAAAGUUACUAUAGGGAUAAUUAGCUUAUAGUAGCCAAAUAUUUAUAGCGACGUUGCUUUUUAAUCUUUCAAUAUCGGCUCUUCCUAUUAUAUUAAAAUAGAAUUUAAUAAAUAUUAAAUUAUUUACUUAUUAAUAAAGAAUAUAAAUUAAAUUUAAAUUAUUGUAAAAUAGGUUAAUUUUACCCUAUUAAUAACUUUAUUAUAAUAGUAAUUAAAUUUAGUACGAGAGGAACCGCUUAUUUAAAUAAUUAGUUUUUACAAUUGUCCGACCGGGUAGUACUAUAAUACUACUAUUUACUAAAUAAUAGUUAAAUACUUUUAAAUUAAAAUUUAUAUUAAAACGCAAUAAUACCUCUAGUAUAUUAUAGACGUAUAAAAAUAAGCUCCGGCCUCGUAUCUUAGUAGGCGAUUCCUCUAUUAGUUUU
Molecule: ribosomal RNA, 1523 nt
Filed under: Neurospora crassa OR74A
Lineage: Eukaryota; Fungi; Ascomycota; Sordariomycetes; Sordariales; Sordariaceae
Description: Neurospora crassa rRNA NCU15749
Rfam family: Eukaryotic large subunit ribosomal RNA
Source: RNAcentral